GUCUGUGGCCAUGCCACCCUGAACGUGCCCGAUGUCUGAUCUCAGAAGCUAAGCAGGGUCAGGUCUGGUUAGUACUUCGAUGGGAGACCACUUAGGAAGACCAAGUGCUGUAGGCA
This is a non-coding RNA of Pteropus alecto (black flying fox), 116 nucleotides long. NCBI's taxonomy places the organism in Eukaryota, Metazoa, Chordata, Mammalia, Chiroptera, Pteropodidae. The record is from Rfam.